GUGACAUAUCCAUUCGAGGGAUGUAAACCAACUUUCCAUAACCUUUUCCGUCCAUUAUUGAAGUUUCAAGGACAUGAUUUCCCAUCUUUUUUAUGAGCAAGCUUGUGCCAUUACACAAACCUUCAGACCGAUCGAUGUUUCACAUAAGCAUAAUAGAUGUUAUAACCUUUAACUUAAUGUGAUGGUUAGGAAAAUCAGAAGUUCGUAGUGCACUGAGG
Molecule: long non-coding RNA, 218 nt
Filed under: Lathyrus oleraceus (garden pea)
Lineage: Eukaryota; Viridiplantae; Streptophyta; Magnoliopsida; Fabales; Fabaceae
Description: Pisum sativum (pea) long non-coding RNA (PSAT_LNC002986)
Source: RNAcentral